AACUAAUGAACUUGAAUAAGUUUAUAUUUUGAAAAUAUAAUAUAGAAGUGAAAUCUUCUAUUAGUUU
This 67-nucleotide transfer RNA is filed under the name Cryptocephalus lividimanus. Its description in RNAcentral is "tRNA-Ser". Lineage: Eukaryota; Metazoa; Arthropoda; Insecta; Coleoptera; Chrysomelidae. The record is from RNAcentral.